UACGUAGGGGGCAAGCGUUGUCCGGAUUUACUGGGCGUAAGAGCGCGCAGGCGGUCGAUCAAGUCGAGUGUGAAAGCCCCCGGCUCAACUGGGGAGGGUCAUUCGAUACUGAUCGACUCGAAGGCAGGAGAGGGUAGUGGAAUUCCCGGUGUAGUGGUGAAAUGCGUAGAUAUCGGGAGGAACACCAGUGGCGAAGGCGACUACCUGGCCGUGUUCUUGAC
RNAcentral lists this ribosomal RNA (221 nucleotides) under uncultured bacterium. Its description in RNAcentral is "partial 16S ribosomal RNA". It matches the Rfam family "Bacterial small subunit ribosomal RNA", at positions 524 to 744 of the family's 1533-position model. The record is from RNAcentral.